GACGAACGCUGGCGGCGUGCCUAACACAUGCAAGUCGAACGAAGCUUGAUUUCUGAUUUUUUCGGAAUGACGAAUGAUAUGACUGAGUGGCGGACGGGUGAGUAACGCGUGAGCAACCUGCCCUUCGGAACGGGAUAGUGUCUGGAAACGGACAGUAAUACCGUAUAACAUAUAUUGAUCGCAUGGUUGAUAUAUCAAAACUGAGGUGCCGAAGGAUGGGCUCGCGUCUGAUUAGAUAGUUGGUGGGGUAACGGCCUACCAAGUCGACGAUCAGUAGCCGGACUGAGAGGUUGAACGGCCACAUUGGGACUGAGACACGGCCCAGACUCCUACGGGAGGCAGCAGUGGGGAAUAUUGCACAAUGGGGGAAACCCUGAUGCAGCAACGCCGCGUGAAGGAAGACGGUUUUCGGAUUGUAAACUUCUGUUCUUAGUGAAGAAUAAUGACGGUAGCUAAGGAGCAAG
This 464-nucleotide ribosomal RNA is filed under the name uncultured bacterium. Its description in RNAcentral is "bacterial SSU rRNA". It matches the Rfam family "Bacterial small subunit ribosomal RNA", at positions 28 to 490 of the family's 1533-position model. The record is from RNAcentral.